GCGCCCGUAGCUCAGUGGAUAGAGUAACGGACUACGAAUCCGGAGGUCGUAGGUUCAAAUCCUACCGGGCGCGCCA
RNAcentral lists this transfer RNA (76 nucleotides) under Syntrophomonadaceae bacterium. RNAcentral describes it as "tRNA-Arg". It matches the Rfam family "tRNA". Rfam says of the family: Transfer RNA (tRNA) molecules are approximately 80 nucleotides in length. Lineage: Bacteria; Bacillati; Bacillota; Clostridia; Eubacteriales; Syntrophomonadaceae. The record is from RNAcentral.